RNAcentral lists this ribosomal RNA (256 nucleotides) under uncultured bacterium. RNAcentral describes it as "partial 16S ribosomal RNA". It matches the Rfam family "Bacterial small subunit ribosomal RNA", at positions 524 to 776 of the family's 1533-position model. The record is from RNAcentral.
UACGUAGGGUGCGAGCAUUGUCCGGAAUUAUUGGGCGUAAAGAGCUCGUAGGCGGCCUGUCGCGUCGGAUGUGAAAGCCCGGGGCUUAACCCCGGGUCUGCAUUCGAUACGGGCAGGCGUGGAGUUCGGUAGGGGAGAUCGGAAUUCCUGGAUGUAGCGGUGAAAUGCGCAGAGUAUCAGGAGGAACACCGGUGGCGAAGGCGGAUCUCUGGGCCGAUACUGACGCUGAGGAGCGAAAGCGUGGGGAGCAAACAGG